GACGAACGCUGGCGGCGUGCUUAACACAUGCAAGUCGAACGGAAAGGCCCUGCUUUUGUGGGGUGCUCGAGUGGCGAACGGGUGAGUAACACGUGAGUAACCUGCCCUUGACUUUGGGAUAACUUCAGGAAACUGGGGCUAAUACCGGAUAGGAGCUCCUGCUGCAUGGGGGGGGUUGGAACGUUCCGGCGGUUGUGGAUGGACUCGCGGCUUACCAGCUUGUUGGUGGGGGAGUGGCUUACCCAGGCUUUGACUGGUAGCCGGCCUGAGAGGGUGGCCGGCCACAUGGGGACUGCGAGACGCCGCAGACGCCUACGGGAGGCAGCAGUGGGGAAUAUUGCACAAUGGGCGGGCGCCUGAUGCAGCAACGCUGCGUGCGGGAUGACGGCCUUCGGGUUGUAAACCGCUUUCGCCUGUGACGAAGCGUGAGUGACGGUAAUGGGUAAAGAAGCACCGGCUAACUACGUG
Molecule: ribosomal RNA, 468 nt
Filed under: uncultured bacterium
Lineage: Bacteria
Description: partial 16S ribosomal RNA
Rfam family: Bacterial small subunit ribosomal RNA
Source: RNAcentral